RNAcentral lists this ribosomal RNA (253 nucleotides) under uncultured bacterium. RNAcentral describes it as "partial 16S ribosomal RNA". It matches the Rfam family "Bacterial small subunit ribosomal RNA", at positions 524 to 776 of the family's 1533-position model. The record is from RNAcentral.
UACGGAGGGGGCGAGCGUUAUUCGGAAUUACUGGGCGUAAAGGGCUCGUAGGCGGCCAACUAAGUCAGACGUGAAAUCCCUCGGCUUAACCGGGGAACUGCAUCUGAUACUGGAUGGCUUGAAUCCGGGAGAGGGAUGCGGAAUUCCAGGUGUAGCGGUGAAAUGCGUAGAUAUCUGGAGGAACACCGGUGGCGAAGGCGGCAUCCUGGACCGGCAUUGACGCUGAGGAGCGAAAGCCAGGGGAGCAAACGGG